CGGUUAAAAAGCUCGUAGUUGGAUUUCGGUCGAGGGCGGCCGGUCCGCACUAUGUGCGUGUAUCUGGUUCGGUCUUGGCAUCCUCUUGGGGAUCGUUCGUGUGCUUGAUUGCAUGCGACGAAUUCAAGACUUUUACUUUGGGGAAAUUAGUGUGUUCACGCAAGCUAUCGCUUUGAAUACAUUAGCAUGGAAUAAUAAUAUAGGGCGUAAGUUCUAUCUGUUUGGUUCAUAGAAAAUACGCAAUGAUUAAUAGGGAUAAUGGGGGGCACUCGUAUUAACGCGUCAGAGGUGGAAUUCUUAGAUUGCGUUACGACGAACUACUGCGAAAGCAUUUGCCAAGGAUGUUUUCAUUGAUCAAGAACGAAAGUAUGGGGAUCGAAGACGAUUAGAUACCGUCGUAGUCUAUACCAUAAACUAUGCCAACUAGAGAU
Molecule: ribosomal RNA, 431 nt
Filed under: uncultured marine eukaryote
Lineage: Eukaryota
Description: SSU rRNA
Rfam family: Eukaryotic small subunit ribosomal RNA
Source: RNAcentral